UACGGAGGGGGCUAGCGUUGUUCGGAAUUACUGGGCGUAAAGAGCUCGUAGGCGGUUUGGCAAGUCGGGUGUGAAAACUCCGGGCUCAACUCGGAGACGCCACUCGAUACUGCCAUGACUAGAGUCCGGUAGGGGAGUGCGGAAUUCCUGGUGUAGCGGUGAAAUGCGCAGAUAUCAGGAGGAACACCGGUGGCGAAGGCGGCACUCUGGGCCGGUACUGACGCUGAGGAGCGAAAGCGUGGGGAGCGAACAGG
RNAcentral lists this ribosomal RNA (254 nucleotides) under uncultured bacterium. Its description in RNAcentral is "partial 16S ribosomal RNA". It matches the Rfam family "Bacterial small subunit ribosomal RNA", at positions 524 to 776 of the family's 1533-position model. The record is from RNAcentral.